AUGUCAAAAUUUAUUUACUCUACAGCAAUAUUUGUCCUUGCAUUGGCUGAAGCUUCGGUGACUUCAGAUUUCGAUCAAGCUCUUGCAGAAUUUCGAAAAUUAAAAGAAGCUGGAGCCAGCCAAUUGAGGGUCCUGAUGGAAGACACUGACUUACGCAAGUGUAACACCACAGAUAGUUUUCUAUCGCUCUUGGAUGAGGAAAAUUCAAUCUAUGGAAAGCUGCAGGCAUGCUUUGUGGCGGUCCAAAAAAUACUCAAUUCCGUCGAUGGAAAAGCCACUCCACAACACGUCAAACGAGUAAGAAUAACAAGGGAAUUUCAUCGCAUUUUUCUGUUUCUCCAUAUUUUAUUUGCUCCCAAGCAGCAAAGCGCAAUGUAUUGGAAUAGAAUAAUUGCGGUUUUUUAUUACCAUGUAAUUGAAUUGUUUUUUUUACCUUAUGUAUACUCGAGAAAUUUAAACUUUUUAAACUUUAAACGACCAAUAAGAUGAGUUCCACGUAUCAGAGAGACAGACAAGUUGCAAUACAAAGAAACAUUGCAUCUUAUUUUAGUUUAAUUUUAUUGCAAUAUUCAGUAGGAGGUGCUCCUUCAAUUAGUAGAUAGGCAACAUACACAACACUCCGAUAUAGUCACAAUAAUUUUAAUAUGUGCUACUUAAAAUAUGGGUAUUUCGUUGCCCCGCAUAUGUAUAGGCGUAACUAUACACUCAGCAAUGUCAAAAAUUGACUGCACACUUGUUAACGCUUGCACUUGAAAUAUAUUUAAUUUUUUAGAUAUAAUUGUAUAGGGCAAGUUUUCAUUAAUUCGGUGAAUUUUUGAACCCCACCAAGACAUAUUUUUUCGGAAGAACUCCCCACUGAUUUUUUUCUUUCUUUUUCGUUUCAGGCAGCAAUAGCGUUCCUGCGGAGCGACAUGUUUGGUAGCAACAUUCAGAGGUUGAAUCAAAUUUUCUCAACGGCUAAUAAGGACUUAGUUUCCCUUCCUCGAGCUGCACAAGAUAAAGUCUUGUCAGUCACAGACGCGUUCAGUGGCACCGCAAAGCAAUUGAACACAUUAGUGACUCUUUUCAAGACCGAAGCAGAGAGGGACACGACAAAUAUGUAAUUAGUGAUUGGCAUCAGAUCUGAAUACUGAAAAACGCAAAAUGUGACGGUCCUCAUUUGUUAAGUUUCCGAAAGGACGCGCCGUGCGCGCCGGUCAAUCGGGUGUAGCGCUACCACUCGCAAACGGUUAGAUUGAUUCCUUGAUCCUUGCAAAUAGGGGCAAGUUCCCCUAUUUCAUAUCUUUCAAACUAAAACAGAUGAAUCAAAUCGGUAAAUAGUGGGUAUCAAUAAUACUCACACCUUGCAAACAUGACAAAAAUAAGAAUAGGUCAGAGGUUUUUACGAGAAGACUGAAAUUAACUGAAACCACCUAAAACAGCUGUCGCCGCGGGCCUAUAUCUCCUUCAGUGUUUUGAGUAG
RNAcentral lists this long non-coding RNA (1462 nucleotides) under Bemisia tabaci. Its description in RNAcentral is "lncRNA ENSSWEETPG005345". The record is from RNAcentral. Lineage: Eukaryota; Metazoa; Arthropoda; Insecta; Hemiptera; Aleyrodidae.